Molecule: ribosomal RNA, 1556 nt
Filed under: Shigella boydii
Lineage: Bacteria; Pseudomonadati; Pseudomonadota; Gammaproteobacteria; Enterobacterales; Enterobacteriaceae
Also listed under: 1 other name
Description: bacterial SSU rRNA
Rfam family: Bacterial small subunit ribosomal RNA
Source: RNAcentral
UUAAAUUGAAGAGUUUGAUCAUGGCUCAGAUUGAACGCUGGCGGCAGGCCUAACACAUGCAAGUCGAACGGUAACAGGAAGCAGCUUGCUGCUUUGCUGACGAGUGGCGGACGGGUGAGUAAUGUCUGGGAAACUGCCUGAUGGAGGGGGAUAACUACUGGAAACGGUAGCUAAUACCGCAUAACGUCGCAAGACCAAAGAGGGGGACCUUCGGGCCUCUUGCCAUCGGAUGUGCCCAGAUGGGAUUAGCUAGUAGGUGGGGUAACGGCUCACCUAGGCGACGAUCCCUAGCUGGUCUGAGAGGAUGACCAGCCACACUGGAACUGAGACACGGUCCAGACUCCUACGGGAGGCAGCAGUGGGGAAUAUUGCACAAUGGGCGCAAGCCUGAUGCAGCCAUGCCGCGUGUAUGAAGAAGGCCUUCGGGUUGUAAAGUACUUUCAGCGGGGAGGAAGGGAGUAAAGUUAAUACCUUUACUCAUUGACGUUACCCGCAGAAGAAGCACCGGCUAACUCCGUGCCAGCAGCCGCGGUAAUACGGAGGGUGCAAGCGUUAAUCGGAAUUACUGGGCGUAAAGCGCACGCAGGCGGUUUGUUAAGUCAGAUGUGAAAUCCCCGGGCUCAACCUGGGAACUGCAUCUGAUACUGGCAAGCUUGAGUCUCGUAGAGGGGGGUAGAAUUCCAGGUGUAGCGGUGAAAUGCGUAGAGAUCUGGAGGAAUACCGGUGGCGAAGGCGGCCCCCUGGACGAAGACUGACGCUCAGGUGCGAAAGCGUGGGGAGCAAACAGGAUUAGAUACCCUGGUAGUCCACGCCGUAAACGAUGUCGACUUGGAGGUUGUGCCCUUGAGGCGUGGCUUCCGGAGCUAACGCGUUAAGUCGACCGCCUGGGGAGUACGGCCGCAAGGUUAAAACUCAAAUGAAUUGACGGGGGCCCGCACAAGCGGUGGAGCAUGUGGUUUAAUUCGAUGCAACGCGAAGAACCUUACCUGGUCUUGACAUCCACGGAAGUUUUCAGAGAUGAGAAUGUGCCUUCGGGAACCGUGAGACAGGUGCUGCAUGGCUGUCGUCAGCUCGUGUUGUGAAAUGUUGGGUUAAGUCCCGCAACGAGCGCAACCCUUAUCCUUUGUUGCCAGCGGUCCGGCCGGGAACUCAAAGGAGACUGCCAGUGAUAAACUGGAGGAAGGUGGGGAUGACGUCAAGUCAUCAUGGCCCUUACGACCAGGGCUACACACGUGCUACAAUGGCGCAUACAAAGAGAAGCGACCUCGCGAGAGCAAGCGGACCUCAUAAAGUGCGUCGUAGUCCGGAUUGGAGUCUGCAACUCGACUCCAUGAAGUCGGAAUCGCUAGUAAUCGUGGAUCAGAAUGCCACGGUGAAUACGUUCCCGGGCCUUGUACACACCGCCCGUCACACCAUGGGAGUGGGUUGCAAAAGAAGUAGGUAGCUUAACCUUCGGGAGGGCGCUUACCACUUUGUGAUUCAUGACUGGGGUGAAGUCGUAACAAGGUAACCGUAGGGGAACCUGCGGUUGGAUCACCUCCUUACCUUAAAGAAGC